UUGGCCCGCAGGGCGAGUAUCAGGAUGAUACGAGUAAAAUCUGCGUUCAGGUUCGAGCCGAGCGAAGCGAGACAGCAACGCGCCAGCGUUGACCCGAAGGCCGAGUAAUUCCGCACGACCUACAA
Molecule: small RNA, 125 nt
Filed under: Yersinia pseudotuberculosis
Lineage: Bacteria; Pseudomonadati; Pseudomonadota; Gammaproteobacteria; Enterobacterales; Yersiniaceae
Also listed under: 1 other name
Description: RtT sRNA
Rfam family: RtT RNA (bases 14-125)
About the family: This family represents a bacterial cis-regulatory element known as RtT RNA. The exact function of RtT is unknown although it is thought that it may be involved in changing the cellular response in relation to amino acid starvation.
Source: RNAcentral